RNAcentral lists this ribosomal RNA (498 nucleotides) under uncultured bacterium. RNAcentral's name for it is "partial 16S ribosomal RNA". It matches the Rfam family "Bacterial small subunit ribosomal RNA", at positions 30 to 523 of the family's 1533-position model. The record is from RNAcentral.
AUUGAACGCUGGCGGCAUGCCUUACACAUGCAAGUCGAACGGUAACAGGUCUUCGGAUGCUGACGAGUGGCGAACGGGUGAGUAAUACAUCGGAACGUGCCUAGUAGUGGGGGAUAACUACUCGAAAGAGUGGCUAAUACCGCAUGAGAUCUACGGAUGAAAGCAGGGGAUCGCAAGACAUUGUACUACUACAGCGGCCGAUGGCAGAUUAGGUAGUUGGUGGGAUAAAAGCUCACCAAGCCGACGAUCUGUAGCUGGUCUGAGAGGACGAUCAGCCACACUGGGACUGAGACACGGCCCAGACUCCUACGGGAGGCAGCAGUGGGGAAUUUUGGACAAUGGGCGCAAGCCUGAUCCAGCAAUGCCGCGUGCAGGAUGAAGGCCUUCGGGUUGUAAACUGCUUUUGUACGGAACGAAAAGCCCCGGGUUAAUACCCUGGGGUCAUGACGGUACCGUAAGAAUAAGCACCGGCUAACUACGUGCCAGCCGCCGCCGUAA